UGAACGCUGGCGGCGUGCCUAAUACAUGCAAGUCGAGCGAACAGAUAAGGAGCUUGCUCCUUUGACGUUAGCGGCGGACGGGUGAGUAACACGUGGGUAACCUACCUAUAAGACUGGGAUAACUUCGGGAAACCGGAGCUAAUACCGGAUAACAUUUGGAACCGCAUGGUUCUAAAGUGAAAGAUGGUUUUGCUAUCACUUAUAGAUUGACCCGCGCCGUAUUAGCUAGUUGGUAAGGUAACGGCUUACCAAGGCGACGAUACGUAGCCGACCUGAGAGGGUGAUCGGCCACACUGGAACUGAGACACGGUCCAGACUCCUACGGGAGGCAGCAGUAGGGAAUCUUCCGCAAAGGGCGAAAGCCUGACGGAGCAACGCCGCGUGAGUGAUGAAGGGUUUCGGCUCGUAAAACUCUGUUAUUAGGGAAGAACAAAUGUGUAAGUAACUGUGCACGUCUUGACGGUACCUAAUCAGAAAGCCACGGCUAACUACGUG
This 495-nucleotide ribosomal RNA is filed under the name uncultured bacterium. Its description in RNAcentral is "partial 16S ribosomal RNA". It matches the Rfam family "Bacterial small subunit ribosomal RNA", at positions 30 to 507 of the family's 1533-position model. The record is from RNAcentral.